This 253-nucleotide ribosomal RNA is filed under the name uncultured bacterium. RNAcentral's name for it is "partial 16S ribosomal RNA". It matches the Rfam family "Bacterial small subunit ribosomal RNA", at positions 524 to 776 of the family's 1533-position model. The record is from RNAcentral.
UGCAGAGGAUGCAAGCGUUAUCCGGAAUGAUUGGGCGUAAAGCGUGCGCAGGCGGUUCUCCAAGUCCGUUGUGAAAGCCCCGGGCUCAACCUGGGAAUGGCAGUGGAAACUAGGGGACUGGAAUCUGGCAGAGGGGGGUGGAAUGCCGCGUGUAGCAGUGAAAUGCGUAGAUAUCUGGAGGAACACCGAUGGCGAAGGCAGCCUCCUGGGCUAGUACUGACGCUCAUGCACGAAAGCGUGGGGAGCAAACAGG